AUUGAACGCUGGCGGCAGGCCUAACACAUGCAAGUCGAGCGGAUGAAGGGAGCUUGCUCCUGGAUUCAGCGGCGGACGGGUGAGUAAUGCCUAGGAAUCUGCCUGGUAGUGGGGGAUAACGUCCGGAAACGGGCGCUAAUACCGCAUACGUCCUGAGGGAGAAAGUGGGGGAUCUUCGGACCUCACGCCAUCAGAUGAGCCUAGGUCGGAUUAUCUAGUUGGUGGGGUAAAGGCCUACCAAGGCGACGAUCCGUAACUGGUCUGAGAGGAUGAUCAGUCACACUGGAACUGAGACACGGUCCAGACUCCUACGGGAGGCAGCAGUGGGGAAUAUUGGACAAUGGGCGAAAGCCUGAUCCAGCCAUGCCGCGUGUGUGAAGAAGGUCUUCGGAUUGUAAAGCACUUUAAGUUGGGAGGAAGGGCAGUAAGUUAAUACCUUGCUGUUUUGACGUUACCAACAGAAUAAGCACCGGCUAACUUCGUG
This 484-nucleotide ribosomal RNA is filed under the name uncultured bacterium. RNAcentral describes it as "partial 16S ribosomal RNA". It matches the Rfam family "Bacterial small subunit ribosomal RNA", at positions 30 to 507 of the family's 1533-position model. The record is from RNAcentral.